UCUCUCUUUCUCUCUUUCUCUCGCGAUCAAAGUCUCGAUGGAAGGUCUGCUUUAAUCGGAGGUUAUAAAAUCAGUGGAGUGUUGGGUCAGAGGCGAUUUGACUCGGCGGAGAUCUUAUCGGAGGCGACUGUAGCAGAGGCGAUUUGAAUCGUCGUGGAAAUUGUAUCAGAGGCGAUUUGAAGGAGAAGGCGAUUCAAUCAGAAGAGAUUGGAUCAAUUCGAUUGAGAGGGUGGUAUGCUUAAGUUUGAGCUCCUCUGAUGCACAUGGCUGGACAUGUGGUUUAAUUAUUCAGGCUUGCGUUCCUCUUUCCCUUUAGUAAUCUGAUGCUUUCCCCUUUAGUAACCUGAUGCACAACGCCAUGUCUCUUCCCCCUCUUUUUUCUCUGAAUUUUUCAUGCUCCAUAUAUUUCUAGUGUUUGAUCUUAUAAUUAUGUUCAUGUAAUUUUUGCCUCUUGGAUCUGUUAUUUUAGAUUGUGGAGGAUGCUUUGCUUUGUGGGUGAUGGUUCUGAUGGAUCGUUGUCUUCUCUGAGCUACAUCUUCAGACCAUCGAGAUUAAUGUGUGUGAGGGUUGGAAGAGAAGAAAGAAACAUUGUGAAAGUGAAUGGUUUGCGUAUGAAGCUAGAACCAUACAAGGAGAUUGGGUGUGCUGCUUUGUUUGACAUUAUAGCUCAGGUUACAGUUUCAAACACUUGUCUUACCAGUUUAGUUCUGUAAUUGUAGAUUUACUCAGAUUUUUGUGUUUUUUUUCUUUAGGAUGCAAGCUUUUUGUAAUUACAGUUUAAUCAUUUAUACUACUUCUAAUCUAUUUAAACU
This is a long non-coding RNA of Camelina sativa (false flax), 812 nucleotides long. RefSeq lists it as uncharacterized. Lineage: Eukaryota; Viridiplantae; Streptophyta; Magnoliopsida; Brassicales; Brassicaceae. The record is from RefSeq and is a predicted model, not a curated record.